CUAGCGGCGCGCUUAAUGCAUGCAAGUCGAGCGAUGAGGCUGCCUACGGGCGGCACAUCAGCGGCAGACGGGUGAGUAACACGUAAGUAACCUACCCCAGAGACAGGGAUAACCCUGGGAAACGAGGGCUAAUACCGGAUGACCUCCGCGAGGAGGAAAGGCUACGGCGCUCUGGGAGGGGCUUGCGGCCCAUCAGCUAGUUGGUAGGGUAAAGGCCUACCAAGGCAAAGACGGGUAGGGGGUGUGAGAGCAUGGCCCCCCACAAUGGGACUGAAACACGGCCCAUACUCCUACGGGAGGCAGCAGCAGGGAAUAUUGCACAAUAGGCGAAAGCCUGAUGCAGCGACGCCGCGUGAGUGAAGAAGGCCUUCGGGUCGUAAAGCUCUUUUGUAGGGGAAGAGGAAGGACGGUACCCUGAGAAAAAGCGUCGGCUAACUACGUGCCAGCAGCCGCGGUAAGACGUAGGACGCGAGCGUUAUCCGGAAUUACUGGGCGUAAAGGGCCAGUAGGUGGCUUGGUAAGUUGUGCGUGAAAGCCUCGCGCUCAGCGCGAGGAGGCCGGACAAUACUGUCAAGCUAGAGGGCAUCAGAGGGGAGUGGAAUUCCCGGAGUAGCGGUAAAAUGCGCAGAUAUCGGGAGGAACACCAAUGGCGAAGGCAGCUCCCUGGGAUGUACCUGACACUGAGGGGCGAAAGCUAGGGGAGCGAACAGGAUUAGAGACCCUGGUAGUCCUAGCUGUAAACGCUGGGUGCUAGGUGUGGGGCGUAGAAGUUCCGUGCCGGAGCAAACGCGAUAAGCAUCCCGCCUGGGAA
RNAcentral lists this ribosomal RNA (811 nucleotides) under uncultured organism. Its description in RNAcentral is "bacterial SSU rRNA". It matches the Rfam family "Bacterial small subunit ribosomal RNA", at positions 36 to 879 of the family's 1533-position model. The record is from RNAcentral.